RNAcentral lists this ribosomal RNA (468 nucleotides) under uncultured bacterium. Its description in RNAcentral is "partial 16S ribosomal RNA". It matches the Rfam family "Bacterial small subunit ribosomal RNA", at positions 28 to 507 of the family's 1533-position model. The record is from RNAcentral.
GACGAACGCUGGCGGCGUGCUUAACACAUGCAAGUCGAACGGAAAGGCCCUGCUUUUGUGGGGUGCUCGAGUGGCGAACGGGUGAGUAACACGUGAGUAACCUGCCCUUGACUUUGGGAUAACUUCAGGAAACUGGGGCUAAUACCGGAUAGGAGCUCCUGCUGCAUGGUGGGGGUUGGAACGUUUCGGCGGUUGGGGAUGGACUCGCGGCUUAUCAGCUUGUUGGUGGGGUAGUGGCUUACCAAGGCUUUGACGGGUAGCCGGCCUGAGAGGGUGACCGGCCACAUGGGGACUGAGAGACGGCCCAGACUGCUACGGUAGGCAGCAGUGGGGAAUAUUACACAAUGGGCGGAAGCCUGAUGCAGCAACGCCGCGUGCGGGAUGACGGCCUUCGGGUUGUAAACCGCUUUCGCCUGUGACGAAGCGUGAGUGACGGUAAUGGGUAAAGAAGCACCGGCUAACUACGUG